This 253-nucleotide ribosomal RNA is filed under the name uncultured bacterium. Its description in RNAcentral is "partial 16S ribosomal RNA". It matches the Rfam family "Bacterial small subunit ribosomal RNA", at positions 524 to 776 of the family's 1533-position model. The record is from RNAcentral.
GACGUAGGGCGCGAGCGUUGUCCGGAUUUAUUGGGCGUAAAGAGCUUGUCGGCGGUCUGUCGCGUCUGCUGUGAAAAUCCGGGGCUCAACCCCGGACUUGCAGUGGGUACGGGCAGACUAGAGUGUGGUAGGGGAGACUGGAAUUCCUGGUGUAGCGGUGAAAUGCGCAGAUAUCAGGAGGAACACCGAUGGCGAAGGCAGGUCUCUGGGCCACUACUGACGCUGAGAAGCGAAAGCAUGGGGAGCGAACAGG